RNAcentral lists this ribosomal RNA (468 nucleotides) under uncultured bacterium. RNAcentral's name for it is "partial 16S ribosomal RNA". It matches the Rfam family "Bacterial small subunit ribosomal RNA", at positions 28 to 507 of the family's 1533-position model. The record is from RNAcentral.
GACGAACGCUGGCGGCGUGCUUAACACAUGCAAGUCGAACGGAAAGGCCCUGCUUUUGUGGGGUGCUCGCGUGGCGCGCGGGUGAGUAACCCGUGAGUCACCUGCGCUGGACUUUGGGACAACUUCAGGCAACUGGGGCUAAUACCGGAUAGGAGCUGCUGAUGGAUGGGGGGGGUUGGACAGUUUAGGCGGAUGGGGAUGGAGUUGCGGCUUAUCAGCUUGUUGGGGGGGGAGUGGUUUACCAAGGGGUCGACGGGUGGUCGGCCUUAGAGGGUGGCCAGCCUCAUGAGUACUGCGGUAGGGCCCAGACUCCUACGUGGGGCAGUAGUGGGGAAUAUUGCACAAUCGGCGGAAGCCUGAUGCAACAACGCCGCGUGCGGGAUGACGGCCUUCUGGGUGUAAACCGCUUUCACCUGUGACGAUGCGGGAGUGACGUUAAUAAGUAAAGAAGCACCGGCUAACUACGUG